AGUGGAUGGGGAGCAACCUAGUUGUGCGUGUGUAAAGGUAGUGCCAAGAAAAGCGAUGAUCAUGUUGAAAAUCAAUUCCCGGUACCCGAAACCGACACAGGUGGGCAAGUAGAGAAUACUAAGGGGCGCGAGGUAACUCUCUCCAAGGAACUCGGCAAAAUGACCCCGUAACUUAGGGAGAAGGGGUGCCACCGAGAGGUGGUCGCAGUGAAGAGGCCCAGGCGACUGUUUAGCAAAAACAUAGGUCUCUGCAAACUCGAAAGAGGAGGUAUAGGGGCUGACGCCUGCCCAGUGCCGGAAGGUUAAAGAAGUUGGUCAGUUUUAGGAUGAAGCUAGCGACUGAAGCCCCGGUGAACGGCGGCCGUAACUAUAACGGUCCUAAGGUAGCGAAAUUCCUUGUCGGGUAAGUUCCGACCUGCACGAAAGGCGUAACGAUCUGGGCGCUGUCUCGGAGAGAGGCUCGGCGAAAUAGGAUUGUCUGUGAAGAUACGGACUACCUGCAUUUGGACAGAAAGACCCUAUGAAGCUUUACUAUAGCUUGGAAUUGUGUUCGGGCUUCCUGUGCGCAGGAUAGGUGGGAGGCGUAGAAGGUAUUCUUGUGGGGAUACUGGAGCCAACGGUGAGAUACCACUCUCAGGAGGCUAGAAUUCUAACUUAAUUAAGGACAGUUUCAGGUGGGUAGUUUGACUGGGGCGGUCGCCUCCAAAAAGGUAACGGAGGCGUACAAAGGUUCCCUCAGACUGGUUGGAAAUCAGUCGAAGAGUGCAAAGGCAGAAGGGAGCUUGACUGCGAGAAGUACAGUUCGAGCAGGGUGGAAACACGGUCUUAGUGAUCCGACGGUGCUGUGUGGAAGGGCCGUCGCUCAACGGAUAAAAGUUACUCUAGGAUAACAGGCUGAUCUCCCCCAAGAGUUCACAUCGACGGGGAGGUUUGGCACCUCGAUGUCGGCUCAUCGCAACCUGGGGCGGAAGUACGUCCCAAGGGUUGGGCUGUUCGCCCAUUAAAGCGGUACGUGAGCUGGGUUCAGAACGUCGUGAGACAGUUCGGUCCAUAUCCGAUGUAGGCGUGAGAAUAUUGAGAGGAGCCUUCCUUAGUACGAGAGGACCGGGAAGGACGCACCGCUGGUGUACCUGUUAUGAUGCCAAUUGUAAACGCAGGGUAGCCAAGUGCGGAGAGGAUAACCGCUGAAAGCAUCUAAGUGGGAAGCCCACCUCAAGAUGAGUAUUCUGGUGUAAGGUCACGGGAAGACGACCCGUAAAUAGGCACGAGGUGGAAGUGCAGAGAUGUAUGAAGCCGAAGUGUACUAAUAGACCGUCGGCUUGACC
Molecule: ribosomal RNA, 1325 nt
Filed under: metagenome
Description: bacterial LSU rRNA
Rfam family: Bacterial large subunit ribosomal RNA
Source: RNAcentral